This 406-nucleotide ribosomal RNA is filed under the name uncultured bacterium. Its description in RNAcentral is "partial 16S ribosomal RNA". It matches the Rfam family "Bacterial small subunit ribosomal RNA", at positions 30 to 526 of the family's 1533-position model. The record is from RNAcentral.
AUUGAACGCUGGCGGCAGGCCUAACACAUGCAAGUCGAGCGCGCGGCGGACGGGUGAGUAAUGUCUGUGAGACUGCCUGCUGGAGGGGGAUAACUACUGGAAACGGUAGCUAAUACCGCAUACCAUCAGAUGUGCCCAGAUGGGAUGAGCUAGUAGGUGGGGUAACGGCUCACCUAGGCGACGAUCCCUCGCUGGUCUGAGAGGAUGACCAGCCACACUGGAACUGAGACACGGUCCAGACUCCUACGGGAGGCAGCAGUGGGGAAUAUUGCACAAUGGGCGCAAGCCUGAUGCAGCCAUGCCGCGUGUAUGAAGAAGGCCUUCGGGUUGUAAAGUACUUGCAGCGGGGAGGCGUUACCCGCAGAAGAAGCACCGGCUAACUCCGUGCCAGCAGCCGCGGUAAUAC